Molecule: long non-coding RNA, 476 nt
Organism: Rhopalosiphum maidis (corn leaf aphid)
Lineage: Eukaryota; Metazoa; Arthropoda; Insecta; Hemiptera; Aphididae
Exons: 3
Source: RefSeq, a predicted model, not a curated record
CCGUACAACAGUACCAUAGAAGUGCGGGAUAAUAAAGGUAUUCAACAUGACGGAAAGUGAGUAACAAAGACUGUUCACCACAUCUGUAACGAAAUUGGAUGGACCCGCUCUUAUAGAACAGGAGCAAGUUCUUUCGAAGAAGCUUUUAAAUAUAGACCUAAGCAUAUAAUCAAUAAAAGUUUUGGACUGCACACUAUAUAUAUUGCUGAAAACGGUGCUUUCAUUGUUAAUAAGUCAAUCAAAGAAAAUUUGUGCUUAAUGAUUACAGCUAUUGAAAUGGCUGGAUACAAUGGAAAAGUUGUAAUAAGAAUCAAUAUUGCAGCAUCUGAUUUCUAUGUAAAUGAAAAAUACGAAGUCAUGCAAUAAUGUCAAAGUCAAAUCACUUCAACUGAAAAUGUAAUAAACUUUUGCCAAGAACUCAUUGAAAAAUGUCCAAUAGUUCUGAUAGAAGAUCUAUUUCACCAGGACCAUUAGAU